CCCACAGCCGCCCCCCGUGCGCCUCAAGGUUCAGGGGCGCCUCGUGAACCCCACCCCCCGACCUUCGCCAUCUUGUUAGUCACUGGGGCUUUGGGUUACAGGUUUAACAGGAGCGGAGUGGGAAGAACUCCGGUCGGUGUAGCUUAUCGUUUUACUUUGAGCCGAUUGAUUCAAACUGCUAAACAGAUUGAAAUUAAAUAAAUCAGUCUUUGCAUUUGGUAUUGGAUGGGGUUCCUGAAGGGCCAAGUCAGUGAUAUUGAUAAGGACAGGGAACAGCUUUAACAUCUGUCUUCCCAGUUGCGAAGGAUGUAUGGUGUGUGAAGACUGAAAAGAAAGAAAAGAAAUCAAUGAAGAAGACAUAGUGGCGGUGCUCUCGAGGUGAUAUAUCUGGAAGAAGUGAUUACAGGAAAUAACCAGAGUCAACAAUGUCUCACCACUCGGAAAACUAAGGUGGUGGAUCCAGGCCUGAAAAGACAGGCAACCCACAAAGAAGAAGCAACGCUAUAGAUUUUUGGGAGGCAGAUAUCCUGGGAUUUGGAUAUCCUGGAGAAUGUGAAAAUUCAACCUGGAAGAAAACAUUUGUUUUUCGUGGCAAUUCAUAUGAAUUGCACUUCAAGAAUAGAUCCAUGCACAGAUUUUGCACUUGUGCAUCACAGAAUAUAACAAUAUGUCAGGUGAUUCAAUAGCUUAACACAGUACGAUAAUGU
Callorhinchus milii (elephant shark) is the source of this 707-nucleotide long non-coding RNA. RefSeq lists it as uncharacterized. Lineage: Eukaryota; Metazoa; Chordata; Chondrichthyes; Chimaeriformes; Callorhinchidae. The record is from RefSeq and is a predicted model, not a curated record. The transcript has 3 exons.